RNAcentral lists this ribosomal RNA (406 nucleotides) under uncultured bacterium. RNAcentral's name for it is "partial 16S ribosomal RNA". It matches the Rfam family "Bacterial small subunit ribosomal RNA", at positions 29 to 526 of the family's 1533-position model. The record is from RNAcentral.
AUUGAACGCUGGCGGCAGGCCUAACACAUGCAAGUCGAGCGAGCGGCGGACGGGUGAGUAAUGUCUGGGGAUCUGCCCGAUAGAGGGGGAUAACUACUGGAAACGGUGGCUAAUACCGCAUACUAUCGGAUGAACCCAUAUGGGAUUAGCUAGUAGGUGGGGUAAAGGCUCACCUAGGCGACGAUCCCUAGCUGGUCUGAGAGGAUGACCAUCCACACUGGGACGGGGACACGGGCCAGACUCCUACGGGAGGCAGCAGUGGGGAAUAUUGCACAAGGGGCGCAAGCCUGAUGCAGGCAUGCCGCGUGUAUGAAGAAGGCCUUAGGGGUGUAAAGUACUUUCAGCGGGGAGGCGUUACCCGCAGAAGAAGCACCGGCUAACUCCGUGCCAGCAGCCGCGGUAAUUC